UACGUAGGUGACCAGCGUUGUCCGGAUUUACUGGGCGUAAAGAGCGCGCAGGCGGUCGUUCAAGUCGAGUGUGAAAGCCCCCGGCUCAACUGGGGAGGGUCAUUCGAUACUGAUCGACUUGAAGGCAGGAGAGGGAAGUGGAAUUCCCGGUGUAGUGGUGAAAUGCGUAGAUAUCGGGAGGAACACCAGUGGCGAAGGCGACUACCUGGCCUGUUCUUGACGCUGAGGCGCGAAAGCUAGGGUAGCAAACGGG
RNAcentral lists this ribosomal RNA (253 nucleotides) under uncultured bacterium. RNAcentral describes it as "partial 16S ribosomal RNA". It matches the Rfam family "Bacterial small subunit ribosomal RNA", at positions 524 to 776 of the family's 1533-position model. The record is from RNAcentral.